CGGGAGGGGGUCCUGCCCAGGGAGCUCAGCGCGUCGGAAGGGCUCGGGGAGCCGCUGCCGCCCAAGCCGCCACCUCCCGCCGCGCUCGCCUCCCCCACCGGGCCUGCCCCGACCCUGGGCACCCCAGCUGCAUCUCACUCCCGCUCUCCCUCCCUCCCGGACUCACCUCCCUCCCCAGCUGGGAUCCCACAGAGCAGGGAGGGGCUCGGUUAAAGGCCAAGGCUGGAGGCUCAGGUGGGGUACCCAGGCCCGGUGUGCACAGGCUACCACCAGGCACUUGGGUGGGGGAGGCCUGAGCAAGUCCAGGCUGAGGAGGGAGACCCCCCCAGGGCAGCAGGAAGCGCAGGAGACUCAAGGGUGCUGGUGUGUGGGGAACGGCGGGUGCUGGUGCUGCUGGUGCUGCGAGGGGCUCCUUCCCACCCCCACUCAGCCCAGCUUCCUGGUAUGUACCCACCUGGGUCGCCAAGCCCAAGAGAGACCCCAAGAUGAGACUCUGCCCACGCCAGCUCCAGACUCCUCGCUGUUCCCCCCGGGAAACCCCCCCCCCCCUCAACCAGAGGGGCUCUCCAGCUGCUCCGGAAAACCACAACUCCUCCCCCUGGGGUCGGAAUCCAGUGUCUGUUCAGCCUCAGAUAAGGGCCGAGAGGCCGUCCUCUGUUCCCAGAAGUGCUUCCGCCGCAGCCACGCCGCCUCACCUGGCUGGGAAAGGCCCUGACCCUCCCUCUACCGAGAUCUGGACUCAGCCGGUGUGAGACACGGCCCCUCCCCAAGCGGACCGAGAGACCCCUGGGGGGCACAGGGAGGGAACCCACCCUAGCAGAACUGGGUGCCAGCCCCUCCCAGCCCCAGUCCUAGGGCAGCUUCAGGGGGCCUUCCAAGGGCAGGUGGUCCCUGGCUGCCCCCAGGUGCUGGGAUGUGAACCCAUCUAUCAGAUAGGUCCAUGGUGCCAAGCCCGGCCAUUCAAGGGCCCUGACCAGGACCUGGGUGCCAAGCCUGGCCAUUCAAGGGCCCUGACCAGGACCUGGGGUCACCACUCCUCCCCCCGCUCCCCCGCCACGGUUUCAGCAGCAGGGCUACUCCUCCAGCAGCUGGGCUGAGCUCCCAGCCCCCUGUGGUUUGCAGGGCCCUGGAUCCCCCCUUCCCACCAAGAAGCAGCCAUGCCUCGGUGGAGAGGCAGACAUCUUCGCAGGACGCUUUGGGGCUGAGGUGCUUUCCAGAGACAGUGAUUCGGGCCAUGGCUGUUCCGGACCCCUCUUUUUGGAGACACAUUCCAGGGAAGAGAGCACGAAGCGGCGCUGGGACAGCAGCGGCAGCAUCUUCUGGCUGCGCAGGCUCUUCUGGAAGGUCUCGAGUGCCAGGUACUGGGGGUCGAGAGUAGAGAGAGCUGACGAGGAGUCUCUGCCCUCGGGCAGCUCGCUCACAGGAGAGACAACAGCUGUGAUGUGUAAGUCGUUACGCACUCUGCACAGCACAUGAAGCCAUACACGCUGAUGGAGAAGAUGAAGCAGGGGGACACGGGUUCAAGCCCUGGUCUGGGAAGAUCCCACAUGCUGCAGAGCAACUAGGCCCGUGAGCCACAACUACUGAGCCUGCGCGUCUGGAGCUUGUGCUCCGCAACAAGAGAGGCUGCGACAGUAAGAGGCCCGCGCACCGCGAUGAAGAGUGGCCUCUGCUUGCCGCAAUUAGAGAAAGCCCUCACACAGAAACGAAGACCCAACACAGCCAAAAAUAAAUAUAAAUUUAAAA
Molecule: long non-coding RNA, 1746 nt
Organism: Balaenoptera ricei (Rice's whale)
Lineage: Eukaryota; Metazoa; Chordata; Mammalia; Artiodactyla; Balaenopteridae
Exons: 4
Source: RefSeq, a predicted model, not a curated record